UAUUGUCAAUAAUUCAUAUGGUUUUGCUAUUGGUAUAAGUAUAAUAUAGAUUUUUUUUUUGUUUCACUACAAUGUGACUCAAAGCAUCUGUAUAACUGCAGGACUCCAUUGGUACACGAUGUUGAAGGAAAAUCAAAAUUUGUCAUACGCCUUACCAUGAAGUGCCUUAUGAUAGUUUGGAUGUUUAGAUGCUUUUAAUUAUCUAUUAGAGUCAUUUUGGAGUCAAUUUGAACAUAGAAAUGUCAACACAUCGAGCAUGGAUGUAUAAUAGGCUUCCCG
Cajanus cajan (pigeon pea) is the source of this 279-nucleotide non-coding RNA. The record is from RefSeq and is a predicted model, not a curated record. NCBI's taxonomy places the organism in Eukaryota, Viridiplantae, Streptophyta, Magnoliopsida, Fabales, Fabaceae.